This 307-nucleotide ribosomal RNA is filed under the name uncultured bacterium. Its description in RNAcentral is "partial 16S ribosomal RNA". It matches the Rfam family "Bacterial small subunit ribosomal RNA", at positions 506 to 807 of the family's 1533-position model. The record is from RNAcentral.
AGACAGCAGUAGCCGCGGGAAUACCGAGGGUGCGAGCGUUAAUCGGAUUUACUGGGCGUAAAGCGUGCGUAGGCGGCUUUUUAAGUCGGAUGUGAAAUCCCUGAGCUUAACUUAGGAAUUGCAUUCGAUACUGGGAAGCUAGAGUAUGGGAGAGGAUGGUAGAAUUCCAGGUGUAGCGGUGAAAUGCGUAGAGAUCUGGAGGAAUACCGAUGGCGAAGGCAGCCAUCUGGCCUAAUACUGACGCUGAGGUACGAAAGCAUGGGGAGCAAACAGGAUUAGAGACCCCCGUAGUCCCUGUCUCUUAUAC